AGUAACACGUGGGUAACCUGCCCUUAAAUCGGGGAUAACUUCGCGAAAGUGUUGCUGAUACCGGAUAUUGUUCCUAGGACUAUGGUUCUUGGAAUAAAAGGUGACCUCUUCAUGAAAGUUGCCGUUUAUAGAGGGGCCCGCGUACCAUUAGCUAGUUGGCAGGGUAAUGGCCUACCAAGGCUACGAUGGUUAGCUGGUCUGAGAGGAUGAUCAGCCACACUGGAACUGAAACACGGUCCAG
This 241-nucleotide ribosomal RNA is filed under the name uncultured bacterium. RNAcentral describes it as "partial 16S ribosomal RNA". It matches the Rfam family "Bacterial small subunit ribosomal RNA", at positions 109 to 334 of the family's 1533-position model. The record is from RNAcentral.